AGAGAAGAGCUUCUAUCCCGAUUUUCGCUUUGGUGUCGUUUCAAAAUCCCAUGAAGCUGCAAAAAAAGCUUUUUUAUUUCUAUUUACCUCCAUCGCUUCCUCUUUACUGUUUAAAUUAUUUUCUUUGUUUCUAUCAAGCGGGGUUUUUCUCGUUUUCUUUGACUUGAUGAAUAAUCAAUGGUGGGUAAUGAGGGAUUUCUCUGUGAUGAUCGAAAACGAUGACGAGUCCGAUUCUUUUCCAUUCUUUCAAAUCGUGACGACAAAUCGAGGCAUUUGUCUGAGAGAAAUCCAUCUUCCUUCUUUAUUUUUGGUAUUUAAAAAUAAAAAAUCAUUUUUUAUUUGUAAAUUGAAAGUGCUCGAAGGCAUAAUGAGGAUAAAUUUAUGAACCAUUCUGAUUAUUGUGAUGAUCAAUUACCUCCUACUCAUUCUGAAUGCCUACAAAAAUAUAGAAUUGUCCUUUCCAAUGUUUUUUAUUUUGAUUAUUGAAGUAAAUGUUUUGGGGAAGAUUUUUGUAAGAAAACGCAACUAAGAUUUUGGUUUAGGGUUAAUGAGGAUUACCUGUGAUUUACCUUUCAACCAACUCAGGGCUGAAUUUGAUAUAAUCUGAUCCAAAAGAUUUGAAUUUGAGAUGAAUUUUAUGUUUUUGGAGCAGCGAUGAUUAAAUCAAGUUUAGGGUUAAUGAGGGUUUACCUUUGAUUAAUAAUAAAUAAAUUUCAAGCACUUCUGAGCUGCUCUCUCUCCUCAUUGAAAACAAAAUAUUUUUGAAAAUUAAUAAAUCAGAAGAAUUUUAUGUUUUUUGGAUGUGGAUUUUGGGAAGAGGAAUUAUUCUUACUUUGCGUGAUUGAUAAAAU
This 851-nucleotide long non-coding RNA is filed under the name Durio zibethinus. Its description in RNAcentral is "long non-coding RNA (DZIB_LNC002209)". The stretch from base 198 to 286 matches the Rfam family "Plant small nucleolar RNA SNOR75". The record is from RNAcentral. Lineage: Eukaryota; Viridiplantae; Streptophyta; Magnoliopsida; Malvales; Malvaceae.